RNAcentral lists this non-coding RNA (31 nucleotides) under Rattus norvegicus (Norway rat). Lineage: Eukaryota; Metazoa; Chordata; Mammalia; Rodentia; Muridae. The record is from RNAcentral.
UUGAGGGUUAAGAGCACCCUUGUGCUUUUGU